RNAcentral lists this ribosomal RNA (440 nucleotides) under uncultured bacterium. Its description in RNAcentral is "partial 16S ribosomal RNA". It matches the Rfam family "Bacterial small subunit ribosomal RNA", at positions 338 to 795 of the family's 1533-position model. The record is from RNAcentral.
CCUACGGGAGGCAGCAGUGGGGGAUAUUGCACAAUGGGGGAAACCCUGAUGCAGCGACGCCGCGUGAGUGAAGAAGUAUUUCGGUAUGUAAAGCUCUAUCAGCAGGGAAGAAAAUGACAGUACCUGACUAAGAAGCCCCGGCUAACUACGUGCCAGCAGCCGCGGUAAUACGUAGGGGGCAAGCGUUAUCCGGAUUUACUGGGUGUAAAGGGAGCGUAGACGGUUAUGUAAGUCUGGAGUGAAAGCCGGGGGCCCAACCCCGGGACUGCUUUGGAAACUGUGUAACUGGAGUACAGGAGAGGUAGGCGGAAUUCCUGGUGUAGCGGUGAAAUGCGUAGAUAUGAGGAGGAACACCGGCGGCGAAGGCGGCCUGCUGGACUGAAACUGACGUUGAGGCUCGAAAGCGUGGGGAGCAAACAGGAUUAGAUACCCUAGUAGUC